GGUCAAAGUCAAAGCUUCGGUUAAGUCUCCCUCAGUCCCCUUAUCUCAUCCUCCUCCCCGAAGGGUUGCCUAUGAAUCAAUCAAGAAGCCAUGGAAGAUUACAGGACCUUGCUGGAAAUUACGGCCCAUUUCACUUAUGCUCUAAUACGGCGGCGCCGAGUUCAUGGCGGUAUCCCGGUAGAGAAGGUAUCGGAAGCAUCGGAGCUCUCCUUGCAGUCAGUAUGCUUUCUCAUUACUUGAGAGCUCAGUUAAGAAAUACGUCAUUCCAGUCGAUCCUAAUUCUUGAGCAAGGAAAAAAUGUGCAAGAUUAGAGAGUUACUCAUUCGUACUGCAAAGACAAUUAUUUAGAAGUUGGAUUUUUAGUUCACCUGGUCGAAGAUAUUGAUACUAUCAAAGUCAGUUCCACUUUGCCUGCAUAAUUUGUUUCAACAAAAGGCAGCCUAACAAUGUUAUUGACUUGGUAUGCAAAGUAGUAAAAAGAUCAACCUUCUUCACUGGUUCACUUAUUGUUCUCCUGCUUUGUCUUUUGUUUGGCCGCACUUGAGGUAGAAUUAAUAUAUAUGAUCGAGGUGUGCAAAUGUAAAAGUUAUCAUCACAUUUUGUAUAUCUGAUUCCCUCUUUUUAAUGACUGUGUUUACUUAAAUUCCUAAUAUAACAGGACAGCAAGAAACCAUGGGUGGCAUGCGGUUUGCUCUGCCGAGGCACCAGAUUAGAUUAACUUAACCUCCCUCGUCGGAUGCCUAGAAAGAGAUCCGAAUGAAUGCACGAGGAAAUCACCCUAAUGCCAGAGCAUUUGUCAACUGCUUGAAUGUACAUUGGAAACCAAACAAAAUUUUUCAUACUUUUUUAAUAGCAUAAUGAGAUGUUUGGAAGCGAUUUUUAAAUGGUUAAAAUCAUUUUGCAUUUUAAAAUAACUUGAAAAAUGCUUUUAAUAUCAAAAUCAAUUUUAUAGUAUGAAAAAUGCUUUCUAUUGAAUUGAUUUUGAGUAAUUAAAAAUGCGUUUCAAAGUAAAUUUAAAUAGGAAAAAGGAGAUUUUAGCCAUUUCAAAAACACUUCCAAGUAGCUGAGGAUAAUUGAUUUGAACUCAUAACUUGUAGAUCCUCCUCAGCUUCUGACUGUUGGGCUAAUCUUUGAUGGUUUAUGCUUGUCUAUUUUGAAUUUAUUGACCUCUCACUUAUUUCUUUUCUGCAUCUCUAAAUCUGUGCUAAAAGAGUCAUAAUUGUUGUAUCUUAACCGGAACAGAUUUUAGUUUCCUGAAAAGCAAAAAAGAGAAAAGGGAGAAGAUCACCGCAGAAAUAAUCAGAAUUAAAGGAAGUUUCUGUCUACCAACAUUGAUAGCCAUUACUUUCAAUCAUACGAAUGUUCAAUCAUUUGAGAGAACAAAAGAAGUUUGCUUGGUUGAGAGGAUUCAAAGGCCUGGGUUGAUGCCAAAUAUUACAUUCCUAGGAGGUUGACGUCCAACCAACCCCGGGGUCAUUUAAGAGCAUGACGGUACAGCUCUGGCUCCAUCUCUUCCUUGUCAUUGAUGUAAGAGUCCGUUUUCAUUGCUAUCACCAGAUGAGAAGGUUUGUGUGUGUGGCUGACAAUGCUUUGUUUAUCUUGGGCUUCAGUUUCCAUCUUCUUUGUACUAAGUUAUGAUUCUUAGUGUUCAGUAUAUGGAUCAUCUCCCAUAACAGAUCAUUCUUUA
This is a long non-coding RNA of Cucumis melo (muskmelon), 1687 nucleotides long. RefSeq lists it as uncharacterized. NCBI's taxonomy places the organism in Eukaryota, Viridiplantae, Streptophyta, Magnoliopsida, Cucurbitales, Cucurbitaceae. The transcript is spliced from 5 exons. The record is from RefSeq and is a predicted model, not a curated record.